CCUAGUUUCCGUGUUCAAUAUUUAACCGUCCGUCUUAUUUAAAAAAUUAUGAAAAAAAAUUAAAAAGACAAAUCACGCAUAAAAUAUUAAUCAUGUUUUAUCAUCUAACAACAAUAAAAAUACGAAUUAUAAAAAAAAUUCAUAUAAGACGGACAGUUAAAGUUGGAUACGGAAACCCAGGGUUUGACUUUUU
RNAcentral lists this microRNA precursor (193 nucleotides) under Oryza sativa Japonica Group (Japanese rice). RNAcentral's name for it is "MIR812 microRNA precursor family". It matches the Rfam family "MIR812 microRNA precursor family". The record is from Rfam by way of RNAcentral. Lineage: Eukaryota; Viridiplantae; Streptophyta; Magnoliopsida; Poales; Poaceae.